AAAUGUGUUGUCUAGUUGUCUGAACUAAAAUGCAUUGGAUGCCUUAUCACGUGGUUAUUUGUACACCAUCUUCCAAUUCAGUUACGAAAUCAAUCUCACAUAGCCUUGUAAACCUUACUUUUCUCUUUCUUUAUCCUCUUCUUACAGAAAAAACAUUAACCUCAAAAAUAGAUAAUCUCGUAGAAAUCUCCCACAUCCCUAAAAAUGCUCAAGUAGAAAAACUUGUUCUUUCACUCUUAAAACCUUAUAAUAUCUACAGAAAAUCUGGAACUCUCACCCAAAGUAUUCAGUCUCUUAUUUCCUCAAGAA
RNAcentral lists this unclassified non-coding RNA (309 nucleotides) under Hevea brasiliensis (rubber tree). The record is from RNAcentral. Lineage: Eukaryota; Viridiplantae; Streptophyta; Magnoliopsida; Malpighiales; Euphorbiaceae.